CCUACGGGUGGCAGCAGUGAGGAAUAUUGGUCAAUGGACGAGAGUCUGAACCAGCCAAGCCGCGUGAAGGAUGACUGCUCUAUGGGUUGUAAACUUCUUUUAUAUAGGAGUAAAAUGUUCUACGUGUCGGAUGCUGAAUGUACUAUAUGAAUAAGGAUCGGCUAACUCCGUGCCAGCAGCCGCGGUAAUACGGAGGCUCCGAGCGUUAUCCGGAUUUAUUGGGUUUAAAGGGUGCGUAGGUGGAUUGUUAAGUUAGUUGUGAAAGUUUGGAGCUCAACUGUAAAAUUGCAGUUGAUACUGGUAGUCUUGAGUGCAGAAGAGGUAGGCGGAAUUCGUGGUGUAGCGGUGAAAUGCUUAGAGAUCACGAAGAACUCCGAUUGCGAAGGCAGCUCACUGGACUACAACUGACGCUGAGGCACGAAAGUGUGGGUAGCAAACAGGAUUAGAUACCCCAGUAGUC
RNAcentral lists this ribosomal RNA (460 nucleotides) under uncultured bacterium. RNAcentral describes it as "partial 16S ribosomal RNA". It matches the Rfam family "Bacterial small subunit ribosomal RNA", at positions 338 to 795 of the family's 1533-position model. The record is from RNAcentral.